ACGGAAGGCAGCAGUGGGGAAUAUUGGGCAAUGGGCGAAAGCCUGACCCAGCAAUGCCGCGUGAAGGAAGAAGGUCUUCGGAUUGUAAACUUCUUUUAUGAGGGACGAAGGAUUUGACGGUACCUCAUGAAUAAGCCACGGCUAACUACGUGCCAGCAGCCGCGGUAAUACGUAGGUGGCAAGCGUUAUCCGGAUUUACUGGGUGUAAAGGGCGCGUAGGCGGGGAAGCAAGUCAGAUGUGAAAUCCAUGUGCUCAACUCCUGAACUGCAUUUGAAACUGUUUCUCUUGAGUGCUGGAGAGGUAGAUGGAAUUCCUAGUGUAGCGGUGAAAUGCGUAGAUAUUAGGAAGAACACCAGUGGCGAAGGCGAUCUACUGGACAGUAACUGACGCUGAGGCGCGAAAGCGUGGGGAGCAAACAGGAUUCGAUACCCUGGUA
This 437-nucleotide ribosomal RNA is filed under the name uncultured Oscillospiraceae bacterium. RNAcentral describes it as "partial 16S ribosomal RNA". It matches the Rfam family "Bacterial small subunit ribosomal RNA", at positions 341 to 792 of the family's 1533-position model. Lineage: Bacteria; Bacillati; Bacillota; Clostridia; Eubacteriales; Oscillospiraceae. The record is from RNAcentral.